GGCAAUAAAUAUCAGCAAGUCACAUUAAAACAAAUGACUGAAGUUCAUAUAGCUGCUGAAAAACACUUGAAUGCAGAUGAGCUGAUUUAAGUUUAGUUUGCCCCACGUCAUUUGAUGAAUAUCAAUAUAAUUCCUUAUUCAGAUAGAGUGGAUUUAAGCUCACUGUUACCUCGCAGCUCCAUCACUAUAUCACAACCUCCUACCAACUCACCUUUGCAGUAAAGCUGUGGAAAGGUUGGCCAGUUUGAGAAGGUCUUUAUCCCCCGUCUCACUUCUUCAUCAGCCAGAAUAUCAAAGGACCCAAAUUUCACACCCUCCUCCUUUAGGGCAUUGACUACUUUGGAGUUAAACCACAUCUUGGAGCAUCUGGGGUACCCUUCAUGAACAGCAUUACAGGAGAAGAUGUAAGCAGCUUCUUUAAUCGAUCCUCAAGAGUUUGCCCCUGACUAAUAAUCCCUUUCUCAGCUAAGACCUUGCUAAGCUCUCCACUUUUCUGCAUCUCCAAAACAAUGUCAGACCCACCGAUAAGUUCGCCCUUUAUGUAUAGCUGAGCAUAACUGGACCAGUUUGAAUAAACUUUGAGACCUUGCCGCACUUCUUCGUCGGAAAGAAUAUCAAAACUCUCAAAAUCCACAUUCUCUUCUUGAAGAAUGUCUGACUACUUUUUGGCUGAAACCGCAUUUGGGUUGAUCAGGCGCUAGUGGAAUCUGAUAUGCCUAAGGCUGUAAAAUAAGCAAACAAUUAGGGCUCGAUUUGUACUCGCUCGACUAAAAGUUCGAUUCGAAAUAUAAAUGAGUCAAAUUUUAAAGUUCGAUAAAUUACUCAAACCUCCUCAAAUUGUAAUUUUUUAUUGUUACUCGGAUCAUAUUUGUUCGAAAAGUUCAAACUGCUCGGGCUCGACUCGGUAGCUAAAUGAGCCUCAAUCAAACCUUAUUUUAUACUCGAUAAAUUAGUUCGACUAAGUUUGUUUACACCCUUAGAUAUGCCACCCUUUCCACCACCAGAUUCAGUCACUUUUGCCUCACUCGAAUUAGAAAUGUCAAUCCCAUGAUCCCUAAAGACUUCUGUUAAUUCACGAACCUCAUUGUCUGCUAGGAUAUCAAAGCUUCUGUCGGAGACACUUCGUAAGUCCAGGAUGAUUAAAUGUACAACUUUUUUAAUCAUUAAAAAAAUGAGCUAAGUUAUAUACAUUGAAAGGUAAAUGUGUCAUUAACUAAUAUAAAAAAAAUAUUAAUUAUUUUAUGUAAUCUUAUGGAGCAUAAAUUUAAAAUUUUAUUAUUCUAUUUUCUUUACUUUACUUUUUUUCCUAAUAUAUAUGAAAAAUGUACUUUACUCGUCAUUUUCAUUUUGAAGACGGUAGGAGUAAUAGAGUAAAUCUAAGUAGAUGCCAAGAUAAUAAGAUAUGGUAGGUUGUUACAAGUUUUAGAACCUGAAAUAGCUUGCAUUGGAACAAUGGCAAUUAUUUGCAUGUCUUCACCCUCAAAUUAUAAUUACGAAACAUAUUAAUACAUGAGAGAUAUAGAUUUAUAAAAGAGUCUCACCUAUUACACGUAACUAGUAAUCGACAAAAACAUUCAAAAUACUUCAAACAAAUCCCAAUUUGUCAUGACCACAGUAAGCUUAUGAUAGCGGCUGCUUCUUCCACAUUUCCCGACCCUUCCAAAUACUUCAAACAAAUCGCCAAAGCUUCCUUGCUGGGCUUCCAGUUAGGUAGACUCAGGGGAAUUGCUUUCUUCACAGCUUCCACAGCUUUUGGGAAUUGAUUAUCUGCGAUAUAUGCACCCGCCAAAUAACACCAUGUAUUAACUGUCGGAAUCCCCCCUUUGCCGAUUCCCCUAUUUAAAAGGGCUUCGGCCUUUUCUAAUUGGCUAUUUCUGCAGUAAGUUUCAAUCAAGAAGUUUGGAAUCCGGAAAUCAUAGGAUAAACCCCUUCCUUCCCAUUCCUCAAAAAUCUUUUUAGCACCUUCAAUAUCAUUAAACUUUGAUAGGGAGCUCAUCAUACUCAUAUAACCCCUGUUGAAGACUUUCCACUCCUUGUACAGAUUCCAUAUCCGGUACAAUUCAUCUUUCUUCCCUGUUUCAGCAUACAAUUUGAGUAAAAUAUCAAAACCAGCAUACUUAUUCUUGGAGAUUUUUGUACAUUUCUCCAUCUUUUUCAGCAUUUCUAAAGCUUUGUCCUCUAACCCGAUUUUCAGGUACCCACUUGCUGCAACAGAAUAAAUAGUGUAGUUCAAAACAAUCCUAGGAUCAGAUUCCAUCCUUGUAACUAUUUUAUCUAUUCCCUCGCUAUCGGAAACAGCAGCAUAUGCACUAAGGCGGAUCGAGAAUGUAUAGUUGUCACAGUAGAUGCCUUUUUCUUCCAUUUCACGCAUCAGGAUGUCUAGCUUCUCCCAACUUCCCAUCUGAUAAUAUAGAUUCAUUAAAAUAUUGUAGCUCAAUGGUGUCCUUGCAAUCCCAAUAUCCCUUAAUUUCUGCAUGAUGCUCUCUGCUUUUUCCACAGAUUUAUCUUUGCAAUAGCAGUUAAGAAGGGCAGUGUAAAUGUCAAAGCGUUUUAAUUUUUGUGGAAUCCUAUCGAAAUAUUUCUCUACUAGUUCCAAACCAUGAACUCUAUACAUCAAACUAAUCCUGGUUGCCAUAUCAUCUGAUGAAAUGGGAAUGUAUCUGUUAUCUGUCAUCCACAGAGAUAUCUGGGAAGAAAAUUCAGAGUCUGAAUUUUAAACUACAUCCUCUCACAGCCAAACAAAGCAGACUAUUCAAAAACCAAAGAAUUACAAAAACCAUUCAAGCCCCCAAGCCUUGGACAGUAAACUCGGACAAAAAUACACAUAUCAAGAUUCCUAAACAGCCAACUUAAAAUGUGGUUGAUGCAGAAAAAAUUCUGGAAAGUUUUAGGGAUGAGAUAAUUUGAACAUGAAAAAUUACCAAAAGAUAAUCUCAGAAGUCGCAACAAAUUCAUUUCAAGCAUUGUAAAGUUUCAAACCCUUCAUUAAUUUGAUGCGGUAUUCUGCUAGACCCCAACCAAAUAAAGGCGGUAGAGGACCUCCUAGGGUCUAGACGGAGCUUUAGAAGAAUUUUUAGAACACUUGUUUUUUAAAAAUCUCCGUUGAUAAGAUUAUACUUUUGUCAAUUUUAACCAUCGAAUUUUAAGGUCCCUGAUUGAAACUUUUUGGUUUAGUCCCUAAGGACCACACUAGAGUUCUACUGAAGCUUUCAAAGUUAUUUCACUUAACAUUACUGCCAGAGUUCCAGCACGGCAACUGGUAGGUACUACAACAAACAAGUGAUGCAUUAUGGUUUCCCUAUUUACUAAAAAACUGCUCAGGCAAUAUCAUUGUCGAAGAAAAUCCAGUAAAAAGUGUAACAUGUGCCAAUGUAGUUUACAUCUAAUUCAGACAUACAUAAUAUUUACUGUUGGGUCAUGAUAUUUCCCCUAUUUGGGCCAAGUAAAUUGGGCUCAUUUAUUUAAUUAGUCUAUGGGGCCUUCAUUACUGAAACUUGAAAGUUAUUGGGCCUAGUCUUCAUAUUAUUGCCAUUAAACCUUAGGGAACCGGGUCGAUCCAUUAGAUUAACCCAUUAGACAUUUUAAUAUCUAUUACUUUGACUUGCAAUGAUGAAAAAGCAUGACAGUUGACUAAGACACCUGCCAUGCAUUAAUGUGGAUGAGAUUAUAGCCGGUCGGCGGCAUAAACAAUAACCAAAGGUAGUGGGUAGGCUGCAUGCAGUCGGUAGAGCCCAUCAGAUCAGGGGGCUGUGUCAGUUAGUAGUGAUUGGCACGGUAAACCGGGCGAGAGAGUAUAACCUAUCAACCAAGUCUUCACAACCAGGUACGUUCACAUUCAUAUUCACACACACACAACGGAGAAUUAUUAUCACUCUCUUAAUAUACUAGACAUUACAUCCUCCAUUGUUAACCUUGUGAACACGUAUACUGACUCUCACGCCUGAGCUAUCCCCCGACGGUCGAAGCCGUCAAGCUUUUGGUGUCUUAUCGUGUUUACUGUGCAGGAUCAGGACGUCUUACGUGAUUGGGACGUGGCAGAAGAUUUUGGCGUUAACAUUGGCGCUAGAAGGAGGGCAGUUCUAGUGUCAUUGAAAUUUUCAAUCACAUCCAUUUAAUCUACUUCGGAAGAUGGUGAGGAGUAGAGACGGUACGCCGGAGGGGCAGGCGAUGGCUGUAAGUUCGUCACUGCCUCGUAUUUCGGUAAAGGAUCGUCGUGCUCACAAGAGCACGGCCUCUAAACAUAAUUCGAGUGAUCUCCGUCCGAAGAUCCACGGUGGAGCCAGACAGAGGUUGGUCUUUGAUGCUGAUAAAAGGCAUGAUCGUGGUCGGGGGCGAGCAGAGGGCUCACCGACUAGGACUCAUCGCCGAAGUGGUCAGGAGGAUAGAGCUGCCAAGUUGGCGAGGAUGGCAGACGAAGCAGAUAAAGCCUUGGAGGUCCUGUUAAAGCAGAGGGAAGAUAUAGCCGAGCAGAUGCUUCGGGUGGCGGAGUUAAGGGACGAAGCAUCUAGCCAUGUUCAGUCCGAAAGACGGAGUAAGCAUAAGGAUAUGCCACGACGAGAGGGGAAAGAGCCGGAGCAUUCCAUACAUGUGUCUAGGGAUCGUUCUCACGGUAGAAGGAGAUCAAGGAGCAGAACUCCCGUGGCCUCGAAGAAGGCACUGGUGGUCGUUGGUUCUCAUCAUCGAGACGAUCGAGCCCCAUGAAGGAGCGUUAAUGAUCACUGCACAAGUAGGCUCGGUGGAUGUGAAGCGUAUGAUGAUAGACAACGGGUCUUCUGUAGAUAUUUUGUAUGCCCACGCUUAUCAGAGGAUGCAUCUUGAUGGGCGAAAGAUGGAGGUCAGGCAAGAGGCUCCUUUAUAUGGCUUCAGCAACGAUCCAGUCAAAGUUGCGGGAACUAUCGAGCUCCCAGUGAUCUUCGGCACAGCUCCUCGGCAGGUAGAAAUAAUGUGUAAAUUUUAUGUUGUGUAUGUAGAUUCGGCUUACAACGCCAUAUUGGGAAAGCCUACACUGACAGCUCUCCAAGCCGUGACUUCCAUCCCUCAUUUCAAGAUCAAGUUCCCCACGGCGCAUGGAGUAGGAGAGGUGGCGGUGGAUUUGGAUCUGGCCCGACGAUGUUAUCAGAACGCAGUUAUUUCCUCCGGAGUGGGGGUCAGCAAACAGAAACAAACCAUGGCAAUUGAGAUCGAGCCCUUCACUAAAAGCAGCUCGGAGCCAUUAGUGAUUCCUGCAGGAGAGACAGAAGAGAUCGAGCUAUUCCUUGGAAAGCCAGACAAGACGGUGAAGAUUGGUUCGGGUCUGCCAGAACCUCUUCGGACAAAUCUUAUGGAACUCCUUCGAUGCUAUGCAGACAUCUUUGCCUGGGAACCACAAGAUAUGCCAGGGAUUAGCCGAAAGGUUGCCGAGCACAGACUGGAGGUGGAUCUAUCGAAGAAGCCCGUUCGGCAAAAAAGACGGAUCUUUGCACCAGAGCGACAGAGGAUUAUAGAUGAGGAGAUCGCCAAGCUGAUAGCUGCUGAUUUUAUCUUUGAGAUCGAUUACCCACAGUGGAUGGCUAAUGUGGUGUUGGUGCAGAAGCAGAACGGAAAAUGGCGGGUUUGCAUCGACUACACCGACCUGAAUAAAGCUUGUCCGAAGGACUUUUAUCCUCUGCCCCAUAUUGAUCAACUCAUCGAUGCCACUUCAGGGUAUGCAUUACUAAGCUUUAUGGAUGCUUUUUCAGGUUAUCAUCAAAUUUUCAUGUGCAAGGAGGACAUUCCGAAGACAGCAUUCAUUACGCACCGUUCGGUGUAUGCCUAUAACAAGAUGACCUUUGGCCUUAUAAAUGCUGGAGCCACCUACCAAAGAAUGAUGAAUUUCAUAUUCGAUAAACAGCUGGGGAGGAACAUGGAGGUGUACGUAGAUGAUAUGAUCGUGAAAAGCAUGCAAGUCCAAAAGCACUUGGAUGAUUUGGAAGAAUGCUUUCAGACUGUCCGUCACCACAAGUUGAGGCUCAAUCCAGCAAAGUGUACCUUCGGACUCAGUGCAGGGAAGUUCCUGGGGUAUCUGGUCAGUCAGAGGGGCAUUGAAGCCAAUUCGGAGAAGAUCCAGGCCAUUCUUGACAUGAAGACUCCUCAGUCGUUCAAAGACGUCCAACGUCUGACUGGCAGGAUUGCAGCUCUGAGGAGGUUUAUGUCGAAGUCUGCGGAGAGAUGCUUGCCGUUCUUCGACACAUUGAAGGGGCCGGAGAGAUGCAUCCGGUCUAUUAUGUCAGUCACGUCCUGCGAGAUGCUGAAACCAGGUAUCCUAAUAUUGAGAAAUUUGCCUUUGCUUUAAUAAUUGCUAGUCGCAAGCUUCGGCAAUAUUUUCAAGGUCGGCUCCUGGUCGUUUACACGGAUCAGCCAUUGAAGAAGGUGAUGGCCAAGCCAGAGGUCUCAGGAAGAUUAGCAGCAUGGACUAUGGAGUUAUCACAAUUUUUCAUUGAAUAUCAUCCCCGAACUGCUAUCAAGGGUCAAGCCUUGGCCGACUUUAUGGUGGAAUGUUCAUUCACCGAAGCAGAUGCUGAACUGCCAGAAGCAGAGACAUCCGAUCUAGCAGUUGCAGUUCUUCAGCAGGGUCAGAGCGUAUGGACGUUGUAUGCAGAUGGAUCCUCUACGAUAAAUAUCAGUGGGGCAGGGAUUAUCUUGACCAGUCCGGAGGGAUUCAAAGUACAGCAAGCCAUCAGAUUCGGGUUUAAGGCGACAAACAAUGAGGCUGAGUAUGAAGCGGUGUUAGCAGGAGUUCGACUAGCGAAGAGUCUAGAAGUUCAGAAGAUAAUCAUUUACAGUGACUCUCAGUUGGUCGUCAAACAACUGUCAGGAGAAUAUGAAGCUCGCGGGACGAGGAUGAUCAAGUAUUUGGCAGAGUUGAAAAACAGACUUCAGUACUUUUUCUCUUAUGAGUUUCAGGGCAUCGAGCGUAACGAUAAUUCCAUUGCCGAUGCACUGUCGAAGCUGGCCACUACGGAUGCAGAUGUUUUCAACGGAUCGGUUUAUUUGGAGGUUUUGCAGCAGCCGAGUGUUCAGCAUGAAGCGGUGAUGUGAAUCGAGCGAUCUAACUGCUGGAUGACUCCCUACAUCGAAUAUUUGACAGACGGCGUCCUUCCUUCGGAUCAGAUGUUGGCAAAAAAGAUCAAGUACAAGAGUGUCAACUUCGUUCUAAUUGAUGGGGAUCUUUAUCGAAGGGCAUUUUCGUCGCCACUAUUGAAGUGUCUAAUCCCGUCUGAAGCUGAAUAUGCCCUUCGGGAGGUUCAUGAAGGUAUCUGCGGCGAUCACAUGGCUGCUAAGUCAUUGGCAUACAAGGUUCUUCAGCAGGGGUACUACUGGCCAACGAUCUUCAAGGAAGCUACCGAGUAUGUGAAGAAGUGUGAGAAGUGUCAGCUCAACAGUCCGAUCCCACAUCAGCCACCAGAAGAGCUAUACUCGAUUCUAUCUCCUAUACCCUUUGCUGUCUGGGGGGUUGAUAUAUUGGGUCCAUUGCCAAAAGCUAAGGGACAGGUUAGCUUCGUAAUAGUUGCUAUUGAUUACAUGACCAAGUGGGUAGAGGCGAAGCCACUUCGGUUGAUAACGGAGCAAGAAUGUUUGAAGUUCAUAAAAGAGUCCGUAAUAUUUCGCUUCGGAAUUCCUAAAGUGGUGAUAUCAGACAAUGGACGCCAGUUCGUGGGAUCAAAAUUUGAAGGAUUUUUGAAGGAGCUGGGGGUUCAGCACAAGAAGACUUCGGUGGCUCACCCACAGUCAAAUGGGCAAGUUGAGGUGACCAACGGGACGCUGCUGAACGGGAUCAAGCGCAGACUGGAUGAAGCUAAAUGAAGAUGGCCAGAAGAGCUGCUCAGCGUGCUGUGGGCUUACUGGACUACACCGAGGACCACCACAGGGGAUUCACCUUUUCGACUGGCCUAUUGUACUGAUGCCUUAGUCCCAGUCGAAAUUGGAUCUCCAAGUCUUCGGGUCAGUCAAUUCAAAGAGAUCUACAAUGACGAAGGACUGAAGGCCAACUUGGAUCUGCUAGAAGAAGUCAGAGAGGUAGCUUUGCUCAAAUUGGCUGCUUAUCAACGAAGAGUAGCUAAGCAUUAUAACAAAGGGGUCAAACUUCUCAAAUUCGAAGUAGGGGACUUCGUCCUUAGAGAAGCCGAAGCAUCUACAUCUCAAAACACGGGAAAGUUAAUGCCGAACUGGGAAGGGCCGUAUGAGAUGACCGAAGUACCAAAGCCAGGCACUUAUCGGUUAAAGGCAUUAGAUGGGUCCGAGAUCAAGAACACCUGGCAUGCCGGAAGACUUCGGAAGUAUUUUCAAUAGAAAUCGAGUUAAUUUACCGGAAGUCUGUACAUGACCGUCCAUUAUCAAUAAAAAGUCACUUUUUUACAAAUGAUCUUCUUCCUAUUUGUCCUAAGUUCACAAUGGUGUAAGGAGGUAUGGUAGGACUCGUUGGCCAUUCGAUGGCAGCCCACUUAUUUGUUACCCCGUGUGGUAGACAAAUCCUAUGAUCNNNNNNNNNNNNNNNNNNNNNNNNNNNNNNNNNNNNNNNNNNNNNNNNNNNNNNNNNNNNNNNNNNNNNNNNNNNNNNNNNNNNNNNNNNNNNNNNNNNNGAGUGGUAAACAAAGGUCCUUAUAUACUUGUUCUACCCCGAGCGGUAAGCAAGAUCUUGUUGUUGCAAAGAGGAUCAGCCGAAUUCACCUUACACAUGACUGAUCUCACACUUCGGUACCGAUAAGUAUACAUUACUUUAUUUUAUUCAAGUGUUGAGUUCAGUUCAUUCAAUUCAGUUCAGUCAAAUUCUGUCCAUAAAAUUCAAUUCACUUCAUUUCAUAAAUUAACUGUUAUAUGCCUUAGCUGAUUCACUAUCUAAGUUCAGUUCAUUGAUACUGAAUUAUUGACAAGAAACUAACCAAAACAGAAGUCAUAAUCAAGAAAGUUGAAGAUUCAUUGAUAAAGUAAAACAUUCAUUCAUUUGAUUCAUCCAUAACAUUAACUAAUUACACAAGCAUAGAAAUACUGUCAAAAUCCUUACAUAAAGUUUCAAACAGUCCCAAAAACAUAAACAGUUUAAAUAGUUAAUUUUUACAUAGUCAGAACAAAGCAGGAAGGACAUUCAGGCACCACCUUCGUCGUCGGAGUUAAGAAGAGCCGGAUCCAGCUGAGCAGCAGAUAACUUCUCUUUACUUCGCUCUCGGCAGUCUUCAUACCCCUCUGAAUAGACCUUCAGGAUUUCGGCAUUAAGCUCAUCUGACUCCCUAUAGUCCGUCUGAAUCUGCUUCCGCAGCUCUUCGGUCAAAAGAGGGCCCCGUCCCUCAAGUUCUUUUAUUUUAUGAUGAAGUUUGUGGCGCUUGGCUUUAUGUCUUCGCUUCUCGUCCUGGGCCUUCGCCUGAGCCUCGCCAAGUUGAAUCGCCAAGCCUCGGUUGGCUGAGGCGAACUCCUCAUUUUUGGCCUUCAGGAGCAGGUUCUCCUCGACCAGGCCGACGUUCAUAUCAGUUAAAGCUUGUUGACUGGCUUCGGACGCAGCCAGCUCAUCCCUUGUGGCCCUUAGCUCGUCGUCAGACGUCUUCAAGUCCAUCCUAGCUCGAUCUAGGUCUCUUUGAAGGCCGUCGAUAGUAUGAAGAGCGUCUUCAUGAUCGACCCUUUCUCGAGCCAGGGUCGAUUUCAGCAUGUUGAUCUCCUGUCUCAUGAAAUCCUCCUCGGCCUCACCAUUUAUGUGCCUCGGACGUAAACACCCGAAGACAGCGUUGGCCUGCAUAUGUUCAACAAUGUUCAAAUCAGUGUUCAGAUAUCUAAACAAGAGCAGAAAAAUAGAAAAUAAGGAAACUGUUACUUACCUUAGCCAAAUAGCUUAUCCCCUCGUCAAGCAGAUUUCCGUCCGUAUGGUCACUGAACCGAUGAUCAUCAGUGUCCCGGACGAAGGCUUCGAAAAGACUGAAGGGGAAAUUUGCAUUGAAUCGAGGCCACAGAGUCGGGGACCCCAUAGCCUCAACAUGAUAACCCUGACCUGAAGGCCCGGGUCGUUCGGGGGAUGGUCUCGGCCUUUCAGGAGAAGGAACUGGCUGUUCGAGAGGAGGAGUUGGGUCCGCAUAUACAGUCUCGGGAGAGGGAGAUCUGUUCGGAAUGGGUUCCCGUGGAGAUGGGGCAGAUGCAGAACUCGGAUGGCUGUCAGAUGAACGCUUCCUCUUCCUGGACAGCGUUGGAACAGUUUCGUCCUGCUCACCUUCUUCGGCAAUCUGUAUUUCUACAGGGGGCACGAAGGGUGGGAUGGUUGAAGAGUGAGGCACCCUGAGCUCUUCGGCGGUCAGGGGGGUUAUUUUGGUUUUUAGUUUCUUGAUUCGGAGGAGACUUCUUCGAUCGGGGCGAUCGAGCAAGCCUCCUCGUGGGGGGAUUGAUUUGGUGGUUGGCUCAGUUUCUGGGAUGGCUUCAGAGGGGCUGGGAAGAGGUGUUGAUCGGGGUUUUCUAACGGCCCUCCUCUUCUGACGAGGACGAAGGGUCUCUUCCGGUACAGGAACCUCAUCAGCUUCUGGUUCUUCUGUUCGGAACUCGUCGGUGUGUAUCUCAGGAGUUGGCUCAGCUUCGGGGAUAGCUUCUGUUGGUGGAUUCUCAGCAGCUUCCAAAGAUUUCCCAGACAGAAAAUCUUCAAACUCCUUCAUUUCUGAGGAGCUCGGUCUGAUCAAAGAUACUGCACGAAACAAACAGCCCUAUGUUAGAUUCCACAUCAUAAAAACUUUUUCAAAUAUUUAUAUAUAAAAUAGACCGAUACUUACAUUUAUGGUCAUAUAACCAUACCUGCUUCGAGAGGAGUCCAUACUUCCACUCCUCCUUAGGAAAAUUGUCGAAAAGCUCCAUCAUCUCAGCUUCCCGUUCUUCAGAAAUAUCUCCGAAGUCAGCGGAGAUCUUCUCGUCAGUGGCCCAGUUCGGUAAAGAAGAGAUUUCAGGACCUUUGACGAAGAACCACUUCUCGUGCCAUCCUCUAUUGCUCGAAGGAGUGUUCACCAACGAACGCCUCUCGAACUUUUCCCCCGACUUCGGAGAGUGUUUGCUGAGAGCCUUGAACCCCUUCUCUCUGGACUGGACGAUCUUGUACACAGUGAAAAAGAAGUCGAGAGAAGGCUCAACGCCCAACUCAUGGCAGAAAGCAACAAAGGCCAAGAUGUGAAUAUAAGAAUUUGGUACCAAUUGGGCGAACCCCAUGCCCAGAAACCCUAGGAUAGUCACUAUGAAGACGUGUAGAGGGAAACGGACCCCCUUCUCAAGUAAGGUCACAGGGACGGCCGUCAAACUUUCUGGCCGUUGGUACAUUUUCUCACCGGAUCUGGGAGCCCUAGCCGCGUGAGUAUCCGGGAUGUGAUAUCGAGAUCGAAUCCUCUUUAACUCGGCUUCAGUGACAACAGAGGGAGUGUUGGCGUGCGAGAAACGUUCCGUAUUCCUGUAGUAUUCAGAAGGAGUUUUGGGGAUUUUUGGAGGAGGAUUCUUAUCGGUUUUCGUUCCUUUGGGAUUCGAGGUCGAGGCUUCUUUGCGGGGAUUAGGGUUUGGAGGAACGGUGUUGAUCGGUGUUACUAGGAGGGGUGAACUUUGCUCGGAAUCUUGAGAAGCCAUUUUUGACAGUUCGCAGAGGAGGAAAGAGAGUUCAGAGGAGAAGAAAACUCAAAAGGCGCUCGAAUUUCAAAUGGGCAGGUAAAACUGUCAAAUUUGGUAAAGUUUAUCUUUUAUACUGAUGGUUACACGGUGUACAAUGCCGGCACAUUAAAUGUUAGUAAUGAUUUAGAAUUUGAAUGGGAAGCGCCCGGUUCCGGGUCCAGAUAUUUAUCAGACAGGGCCUUUCUGAUUUGGGCCUCCGGUCUCCUCUCAUUUCAUCUCAUGAACCAUAACCGGGUACAUUUCGAUUACUUCUCAUUAUGGACCUUUAAUAAAGUAUCAUGGGCCAUUUAUAGUUUUCUAUUAAAAAUUCUGUUUAAUAAAAAACGAGGGGACAAUGUUGGGUCAUGAUAUUUCCCCUAUUUGGGCCAAGUAAAUUGGGCUCAUUUAUUUAAUUAGUCUAUGGGGCUUUCAUUACUGAACCUUGAAAGUUAUUGGGCCUAGUCUGCAUAUUAUUGCCAUUAAACCUUAGGGAACCGGGUCGAUCCAUUAGAUUAACCCAUUAGACAUUUUAAUAUCUAUUACUUUGACUUCCAAUGAUGAAAAAGCAUGACAGUUGACUAAGACACCUGCCAUGCAUUAAUGUGGAUGAGAUUAUAGCCGGCCGGCGGCAUAAACAGUGACCAAAGGUAGUGGGUAGGCUGCAUGCAGUCGGCAGAGCCCAUCAGAUCAGGGGGCUUUGUCAGUUAGUAGUGAUUGGCACGGUAAACCGGGCAAGAGAGUAUAACCUAUCAACCAAGUCUUCACAACCAGGUACGUUCACAUUCAUAUUCACACACACACAACGGAGAAUUAUUAUCACUCUCUCAAUACACUAGACAUUACAUCCUCCAUUGUUAACUUUGUGAACACGUAUACUGACUCUCACGCCUGAGCUAUCCUCCGACGGUCGAAGCCGCCAAGCUUUUGGUGUCUUAUCGUGUUUACUAUCAGGACGUCUUACGUGAUUGGGACGUGGCAGAAGAUCUUGGCGUUAACAUUUACCGCAAGCGUCCCAACUUAUAUUGCAUCCCCUACAUUUCAGUUGUCUCAAACCUAUUUUUAAUUGCUAUGAACAUUAUAAAUUAUAUUUAGUUUUAUCACCUUUUUGAAAUUUAACAAAAUUUCACCUCUGGAAAAUUAAUUGUGGACAACUAAAUUGGGACAGGAUGAAAAAAUCAAGACAAAAUUAAUGUAAAGCCAUAAUCUAAAGCAAAAUUGGAUCAAAUGAAUAAUGAUACAAAAAUCAUUUAAUAAGAUUAAAAGGGUGAAAAGAAAAACCUCAAGGGCGUGUUUGAACCGUUUAUAAUUUUUCAACUCACGGAUGAUGUCCUGAAGCUCUUGUUUCCGGAUCUCUCUUCCUUCCAGGACCCAUUGAUCGAGAACUGGCACAACCGAAAUGCUAGGGUCACCGAUUGGCGAUAUCCUUUUGUAGAGUGAUUCGGGUAGUAACCCGUUUAGGGUUUGUGUUGUGCUGAAGAAAUGGCGCAAGGUUUUUCCAUAAGCAGGAUUUUGGCGUGAACCCAGUAAGCUAGAAAGCUUCAUCUGGUGAGAGAAUCCUUUACCAGUUUGUCUGUUCGUUUGGUGGACAGACUUGUCACGUACAACCGCUGACAUUCGCCUCAUAUACAUAUUUUGAUACAUAUCCUACAUGUCAAAAUAUGUAUAUAAAAAAUGUUAAUUGGGCCUUCUCAAUCUUUUCUGGUUUUCAGAAUUUGUUGUCGUUUUCUUUUCUUUUUUUAAUUUCAAAUUAUUCCUUUCUCCCUUAUUCAAAAUGCCUAAAUAUGGAUUUGUAGUUGAACUUUAAUUUAUUUUUAUUUUUUCAUUUUGAGAUUGUCUUUUCAAUUAGGAGAUUAAGUUCUUACUUUACUUUAGGAUUAUUUUCUCAAUUUUUUUAAUUAGGAAAUUAAAUUUUUAAUUAUUUUUUAUUACGUCCAGUUGAUAGUACCGCAUCACAAACUGAUGACAUGGCAGCAACACGUAGCUAAAAAAUAUUUGUGUAAUAUUGAGUCUCAAUUUAACAUUCAUUCCGUUAAUUUUUUAUAUCAAAAAAGUUAAAUAUAAGAUCAGUAUUUAUUUUGUAAAGUAAAUUUAACACAUUAUGAACUCAACUUAAAAAAUUAUCAAUAUAUUGAUAAAUUUUUUAAAAUGUAUAAAUGUAUUAUUAAUUAAAAUAUUGUUAUUUCAUAAUCAUCAAUAAUCAAUAUAAUGAUAUUUUCACUCUUUUUGGUAUGAAAAAAUAAGGCCUAAAUAUAAAUUAAUACCAUAAACUUUAAGUUUAUUUCAUAAUCAUCAAUAAUCAAUAUAAUUAAUUUUUUAUACAAAAAGGGUAAAUUUGUCAUUAAAAAACUAAUAAUGGUCUUAUAUUUACCUUUUUUGGUAUAAAAAUUUAAUUGAAUAAAUGUUAAAAUGAGACUCAAUAUUACACAAGUAUUUUCUUAGUCACGUGUCGCUAUCAUGUUAUCAUUUUUUUGACGUGACAUUAUAAUUAGAUGUAAUAAGAAGAAAUUAAAAGUUUAAUCUCUAAAUUGAAAAUUUUGAAAAAACAAUCCUCAAAGUGAAAAAAAAUUAAAAGUUUAAUUUCAUAAUAGAAAAAAUUGAAAAGACACCCCCAAAACUAGAAUUUUUUUAAAAAAAUUUUAGGAUAUUUAGGCCUAUUAAAAGUAAGUACAUUGUUUUGGACCUUUGGUGUUUAUAUUUAAAAGCUAAAUAUGGGACUAAUAGGAGCCUUACCUUGAAUUUUCCCCUCUUUUUUCAAAUUUAAAUAUGAGACUAAUGGUAGCCUUAACUUGAAGAGUCAUCUCCCUUUUUUGUUUAUAAGUUUUGGUUGCAAUUAAUCUUUCUACAUAUAUAAGGCGUUUUUGUCAUAAAUACGCAUAUCAAAUGACCAACAAUGUAAAUUUGAAUGAGAAAGGGAAAUUAUAUGUGAGAAAUGACUUGGUGUUAAUCAUAAUGUUGUUUCUAUUAACGUGAGGUUUUAGGAGGUAUUUGAUAAAAAUUGAAUGAGUUGAAUAUGAAUGAAAAAAUAUAUUUGAUAAUUGACAUGUCUAAAAUAUGUGAAUAACAGAUUUUUAUUAUUUUAUUCAUCUAAAAAAAUUCAAAAUUGUUAUAAAUUUAUUUAAUAUUACUUAAUAUAAUAGUUAAUAUUGUAAAAAAGAAAGAAAGAAAUUCAUUCAGCCCUCCUUCAGCCAAAAAAAUGACACUAAACCAUUUAGCCCAAAUUGUCUGAAUGGCUGACCGAUUUAGUCAUUCAGACAAUUUUUUUUCCAAAACAAACGCACUUAAUGACUUACCAAUUCAGCUAUUCAGUUCUAAACAAACAACCCGUUAGCGUAGUUACGUAUAGUAUAAAAUAUGACUCCAUAAAUAAGAAAUAGUAACCUCAAUGGGAAGUGUUUUGUAACAUUAAACUUUUUCAAUAUUCUAAUUUUCCAUUGGUCUAGAUCGAUUUUUCUUACGUUCUGAAUAAAUUAUUUGUGUGAUAUUUUCUUAGAAUAACAUAACCAUUUAUCAUGUGAAUUAAUUAAUUUAUUUAUUGAUAUUAUUAUUAUUAUUUCAUUACAACAAGGGAAUGUAAAUUAGCUAGUUGAAGUGAUAACCAGGAUAUAAAGCACCAGUGGUCUAGUGGUAGAAUAGUACCCUGCCUCGAUACAGACCCGUGUUCGAUUCCCGGCUGGUGCACAAACCUUAUUUGCGGGGUGAUAGCUAAGUUGGGAGAGCGUCAAAAUUCUUUUUUCAAUUUUUGCUACCACUAUAUUAUGAACAAAACCUAAAGGAGCUAUUCAGUAUUCACUAGCAAAAUCCUUCUACAUAAAAUGGAAGGCUAGAAACUAAAAAAUGGCCUUGACCAUAACCAUCAGAUAUCUUUCCAUGAUGAGAAAAAUUGCAAGAGGCAACUGCUAAUCUGCUAUUAAUUUCAAGUACCAUACGAUGUAAUUGUUGGGUGUUCCGAGAAAUGAUUACAUGACAAGGCCGUUAGAGUAGAAAGGAAGUAUUAUAAGAUGAUUGGGGGAAAGUGCAGCAGGUUUGCUGGAGAAAGAUUUAUGACUAAUUGACUAUAUUGCAUGAAAGAAGCAGCACAUGUUUGUGUGGGGCAGUUGAGGCAAUCCCAGCGGACUGAUCCAACCCAGGGGCCGGGGCUGCUACCCCUUUAGUUGCUGUUAAAGAUUGAUCAUGGUUCCUUAUUAAGGGGAAUAGUAGCAUGUGUUGGAACUCGGAAGCAUGUUAAGUGACUAGAAACUUUGGAAAACUGUAAUCAAAUUUAACUAGAAUUGCCUCAAAGAAAGUAUAACCCUUUUUCAAAGCUGUUCAAAUGCACCUCAGCCAGAGAAGAUUAUAAAAGCACACCAAUGUUUAAUCCAUUGAUCACACAAAUCAUGAGAGAGAGGGAGAGACUACAAAUGACUUUAGUUUAUAAGCAAAUGCUGUAAAUGCACAAAUGAGCACACAAGUGACUAGAAAAAUUACCUGCAUUUGCAAACAUAAGCCAACACCACACUAAAGCUUGACACAAUGUUUUGGAUCAAAAUUUGUAAAUUCAGCCAUCAAUUACAGUUUGGCAAUAAAUAUCAGCAAGUCACAUUAAAACAAAUGACUGAAGUUCAUAUAGCUGCUGAAAAACACUUGAAUGCAGAUGAGCUGAUUUAAGUUUAGUUUGCCCCACGUCAUUUGAUGAAUAUCAAUAUAAUUCCUUAUUCAGAUAGAGUGGAUUUAAGCUCACUGUUACCUCGCAGCUCCAUCACUAUAUCACAACCUCCUACCAACUCACCUUUGUAGUAAAGCUGUGGAAAGGUUGGCCAGUUUGAGAAGGUCUUUAGCCCCUGUCUCACUUCUUCAUCAGCCAGAAUAUCAAAGGACCCAAAUUUCACACCCUCCUCCUUUAGGGCAUUGACUACUUUGGAGCUAAAACCACAUCUUGGAGCAUCUGGGGUACCCUUCAUGAACAGCAUUACAGG
RNAcentral lists this long non-coding RNA (16559 nucleotides) under Panax ginseng (ginseng). Its description in RNAcentral is "long non-coding RNA (PGIN_LNC008285)". The stretch from base 15215 to 15285 matches the Rfam family "tRNA". The record is from RNAcentral. Lineage: Eukaryota; Viridiplantae; Streptophyta; Magnoliopsida; Apiales; Araliaceae.